UGCCAGCAGCCGCGGUAAUACGAAGGGAGCGAGCGUUGUCCGGAAUUACUGGGCGUAAAGAGCAUGUAGGCGGUUCAAUCAGUUGGGUGUGAAAUCCCGGGGCUCAACCCCGGAACUGCAUCCAAUACUGUGGAACUAGAGACCGAGAGAGGAAAGUGGAAUUACGAGUGUAGAGGUGAAAUUCGUAGAUAUUCGUAGGAACACCAGAGGCGAAGGCGGCUUUCUGGCUCGGUACUGACGCUCAGAUGCGAAAGCGUGGGUAGCAAACAGGAUUAGAUA
Molecule: ribosomal RNA, 279 nt
Filed under: uncultured bacterium
Lineage: Bacteria
Description: partial 16S ribosomal RNA
Rfam family: Bacterial small subunit ribosomal RNA
Source: RNAcentral